CCCUAGCCAAUCAGAGGCGCUUGUGUGGAACUGUCCAAUCAGGUGCCAGCCUCGGAGGAAGGGGCGGCCUUCCACCACCUGGCUGCGUGUUUGUUUCCGGACCCGCGGAGCUCGGUGUUGUGUGUCCGUUGCGUGUUCGGUGUCCAUUCCUCUGUCCGGUUUUCUCCGCGAGGCUCCAAGUGACUCCGCCAUUGCCUCCAUGGCCCUGGGACCUGCAGGUACUGGAAGGUCCAUUGGGAAGAUGUCGGGACACCACAGAAGACAAGAACCGAAUGACCUUAAAAGAAGAAGAAAAGGGAAGAAAUGCUGAUAUAUUGCCUAAAAAAGACAGUGAACAGUUAAAAAGAAAAGAAAAGGAAUGUGGGAAAGAAGUUGAAACAGCAACUCAAACAGACUCUGAAAUCACUGGUCACAGAAUUGAGGACAUUAGGAAAGAAUUUGGAUCAGGUUGUGCAGAAGCGAAGCGAUACCCACAAGCAACUUUCUGA
This 488-nucleotide long non-coding RNA is filed under the name Pan troglodytes (chimpanzee). RNAcentral's name for it is "lncRNA (ENSPTRG00000053322.1)". Lineage: Eukaryota; Metazoa; Chordata; Mammalia; Primates; Hominidae. The record is from RNAcentral.